GAAGGUGAUAUUCCCCUGGAGUGGGGCUGC
RNAcentral lists this non-coding RNA (30 nucleotides) under Homo sapiens (human). The record is from RNAcentral. Lineage: Eukaryota; Metazoa; Chordata; Mammalia; Primates; Hominidae.